This 545-nucleotide ribosomal RNA is filed under the name bacterium A3T_VP5_D5. RNAcentral describes it as "bacterial SSU rRNA". It matches the Rfam family "Bacterial small subunit ribosomal RNA", at positions 340 to 873 of the family's 1533-position model. The record is from RNAcentral.
UAAAACGGGAGGCAGCAGUAGGGAAUCUUCCGCAAUGGACGAAAGUCUGACGGAGCAACGCCGCGUGAACGAUGAAGGCCUUCGGGUCGUAAAGUUCUGUUGUUAGGGAAGAACAAGUACCAGAGUAACUGCUGGUACCUUGACGGUACCUAACCAGAAAGCCACGGCUAACUACGUGCCAGCAGCCGCGGUAAUACGUAGGUGGCAAGCGUUGUCCGGAAUUAUUGGGCGUAAAGCGCGCGCAGGUGGUUUCUUAAGUCUGAUGUGAAAGCCCACGGCUCAACCGUGGAGGGUCAUUGGAAACUGGGGAACUUGAGUGCAGAAGAGGAAAGUGGAAUUCCAAGUGUAGCGGUGAAAUGCCUAGAGAUUUGGAGGAACACCAGUGGCGAAGGCGACUUUCUGGUCUGUAACUGACACUGAGGCGCGAAAGCCUGGGGAGCGAACAGGAUUAGAUACCCUGGGAAUCCACGCCGUAAACGAUGAGUGCUAAAUGUUAAAGGGUUUCCCCCCUUUAGUGCUGCAGCAAACGCAUUAAGCACUCCCCC